AAGCACGCCUGUCAUUCAUCAUUCUCCCCAACUCCCCCCUUUUCCUCCUUCUCUCUUUUCUCUUCUUCCAGCUUCCGCCCACAACCUUCUAUUCAUUUUCUUUCUCAAUUUUCCACAUACGGAUUGGAUCUAAACAUCCUUUUUUCGGAUACCGAAUUCGAUCUUUUCUACUACGUCAAGGCUCUUCUUGGUACUCCAUACCAGUUUCAGGCUGUGGCUUUAGAAAGCCACGUACUGAAGUAAAAACACUAUGUCUGUUUCUAUGAGAGAUUUGGAUCCAGCCUUUCAAGGAGCUGGACAAAAAGCAGGAAUUGAAGUGUGGCGCAUUGAGAACUUUAAGCCAGUGGUCGUUCCACAGUCUUCUUAUGGCAAAUUCUUUACAGGGGAUUCCUAUGUUAUUUUGAAGACUAUUGCUUUGAAAAGUGGUGCCUUACGUCAUGACAUCCAUUAUUGGCUUGGCAAAGAUACAAGUCAGGAUGAAGCGGGAGCAGCAGCCCUGAAGACGGUUGAGCUUGAUGCAGCUCUUGGAGGACGUGCUGUUCAGUAUCGUGAAGUACAAGGACAUGAGACAGAGAGGUUCCUUUCUUACUUUAAACCAUGCAUUAUACCUCAAGAAGGUGGAAUUGCAUCUGGUUUCAAGCAUGCUGAACCUGAGGAGCACAAGAACCGUAUGUUUACUUGCCAAGGAAAGCAUGUAGUUCAUGUAAAAGAGGUUCCUUUUGCUAGAUCCUCACUCAAUCAUGAUGACAUUUUUAUCUUGGAUACCGCGAAUAAGAUAUUCCAGUUUAAUGGUUCCAAUUCAUGUAUUCAAGAAAGGGCUAAAGCACUAGAGGUUGUGCAGCAUAUCAAAGAUACUUAUCAUGAUGGGAAGUGUGACAUAGCUACUGUUGAGGAUGGAAAAUUGAUGUCUGAUGCUGAAACUGGAGAGUUCUGGGGUUUCUUUGGUGGCUUUGCUCCACUUCCGAGAAAAACGGCGACAGAUGAUGCCAAAAAUGCCGAUGCUCUUCCCACUCAGCUCUUCUGUGUCGAGAAGGGGCAGGUUGAACUUGUUGCUGCUGAUUCCUUGAAAAAGGAGUUGCUAGAUACGAGUAAAUGCUAUCUUCUGGAUUGUGGGGCAGAAAUUUAUGUAUGGAUGGGGAGAGGUACUUCUCUUGAUGAAAGAAAAGCUGCAAGUGGAGCUGCAGAAGAAUAUCUUCGUAGCCAGGAUAGGCUAAAAUCUCAUAUAAUACGCGUGAUUGAGAAUUUUGAGACGGUAACUUUUCGAUCAAAAUUUGAGGCCUGGCCUCAAUCAACUGAGGUGGCAGUCUCUGAGGAUGGUAGAGGCAAGGUGGCCGCACUUCUAAAGCGCCAAGGGGUCAAUGUGAGGGGUCUACUUAAAGCUGCUCCUGCAAAGGAGGAACCUCAACCAUAUAUUGAUUGCACUGGACAUUUGCAGGUUUGGCGUGUAAAUGGUCAAGAUAAGACCCUUCUUUCAGUCCCUGAUCAGUCAAAGUUUUAUAGUGGAGAAUGCUAUAUCUUCCAGUAUACAUGUCCUGGAGAAGAUCAAGAUGAAUGCCUUGUAGGGACAUGGUUUGGAAAGCAAAGUGUUGAGGAAGACCGCAAUUCAGCUACCUCACAGGCAAACAAGAUGGUUGAGUCACUCAAGUUUCUGGCUUCUCAGUUGCAAAUUUAUGAAGGAAGCGAACCUAUCCUUUUCUUUGCAAUCUUUCAGAGCUUUCUGGUUCUUAAGGGGGGUCUAAGUGAUGGAUACAAGAAUUUCAUAUCAGGGAAGGAACUUCCUGAUGAAACUUAUAAAGAAGAUGGGGUUGCACUAUUUCGAGUUCAGGGAUCUGGACCUGAAAAUAUGCAAGCAAUCCAAGUUGAACCUGUGGCUUCCUCGUUGAACUCCUCCUAUUGUUACAUACUACACCGUGAUUCUUCUGUAUUUUCAUGGAUCGGAAAUCUUACAACUCCUGAAGUCCAGGAACUUGUUGAGAGGCAACUGGAUGUGAUAAAGCCAAAUAUGCAGUCCAAAUUACAAAAGGAGGGUUCGGAGUCUGAACAGUUUUGGGAAAUUUUAGGUGGAAAAUGUGAAUACCCCAGUCAGAAGAUUGCAAGAGAUGCUGAAAGCGACCCUCAUUUGUUCUCAUGCACAUUUUCAAAAGGAGAUCUGAAGGUCACUGAGAUAUACAACUUCAACCAGGACGAUUUGAUGACGGAAGAUAUAUUUAUCCUUGAUUGUCACUCAAGCAUCUUUGUUUGGGUAGGGCAGCAGGUUGAUCAGAAAAUUAAAACAGAAGCAUUAGUUAUUGGGCAGAAAUUCCUGGAACGUGAUUUUCUUCUCGAGAAAUUAUCUCUUGAAACUCCAAUAUAUAUCAUAACUGAAGGAAGCGAGCCACAGUUCUUCACUCGAUUCUUCACAUGGGAUUCAUCCAAAUCUGCAAUGCAUGGAAACUCAUUCCAGAGGAAGCUAUCUAUACUAAAAAAUGGAGGUCGUCCAACCUUGAAUAAUAUGCUUGUUAUAUUGUUAGAAACCAAAAAGGCGAACACCUGUAUCACAUGGAGGAAGGUCUGUAGCGACCGAAAAACCACAACGUUCGAGAAGUGUGUCUUUUAGCCCUGACAGAGUCCGUGUGAGAGGCAGAUCUCCAGCCUUCAAUGCUCUUGCUUCCACUUUUGAGAAUGCAAAUGCAAGGAAUCUGUCAACUCCUCCUCCUCUCGUAAGGAAACCUUAUCCAAAGUCCGGUGCUACCGAUUCCGCUUCUCGGUCCACCGCUUUAGCAUCUCUAACCGCUACUUUUGAACAACCUCCACGAGAACCUCUCAUGCCUCGUUCUGUGAAACCGAGGCCCAAAUCGCCACCAAAAACUGAUUCGAACUCGAAAGAGAACUUGAUGAGCAGUAAAAUGGAAGCCCUAACGAUACAGGAAGAUGUUAAAGAAAAUGAGGUUGAAGAUGAGGAAGGGCUCACAUUGUACCCAUAUGAACGCCUUACGACCGUGUCCACCAACCCUGCUGCCGAUAUUGAUGUAACCAAGAGAGAGACAUACCUGUCCUCUGCUGAGUUCAGGGAUAAGUUUGGAAUGACCAAAGAAGCUUUCUACAAGCUGCCAAAAUGGAAGCAAAAUAAACUGAAAAUGGCACUUCAGCUGUUCUGAGUUCUAUGCAGCCUAAAUUACAAAAUUUGGGCGGUCCAGUUUUUCGUGUUUUAGUGUGAUAGUGAGAGCAUCGGUGCAUUUUUAGCUGCUUCUGCUCUCAAGAAGCUGGUUUUACGGUGGAUAUGAGAGUUAGAGUGCAAAUUUCGGUUAACUCUACUUUCGUCUUGUAGCUUUAUUCGUCCUUCAUUAUUUAUUUAUUUUUGUGUCGUCGUUUUAUUAUCGUCACAGGGUGGGUGUGAGCUUGCAUAUUUUUGGUUUGUUGUUUGAUUAUUGAUUUCUAAGUGAGGGGUAUUAUUAGAGUUUGCAGAUGCAGACACUUUGUUAGAUUGUAUUCUACUCCCAAGGGUGGAGAUGUGUACAGGACAAGUGAGUGUAAGUUAACAGUAAAAUGUGUGUUUUUAACUGUA
RNA transcript from Cynara cardunculus var. scolymus (artichoke), 3544 nucleotides. It is a transcript of the gene named villin-4-like, with no coding region annotated. NCBI's taxonomy places the organism in Eukaryota, Viridiplantae, Streptophyta, Magnoliopsida, Asterales, Asteraceae. The transcript has 24 exons. The record is from RefSeq and is a predicted model, not a curated record.